RNAcentral lists this ribosomal RNA (277 nucleotides) under uncultured Pseudomonas sp. RNAcentral describes it as "partial 16S ribosomal RNA". It matches the Rfam family "Bacterial small subunit ribosomal RNA", at positions 1109 to 1382 of the family's 1533-position model. Lineage: Bacteria; Pseudomonadati; Pseudomonadota; Gammaproteobacteria; Pseudomonadales; Pseudomonadaceae. The record is from RNAcentral.
CCUUAGUUACCAGCACGGUUAUGUAGGGCACUCUAAGGAGACUGCCGGUGACAAACCGGGAGGAAGGUGGGGAUGACGUCAAGUCAUCAUGGCCCUUACGGCCUGGGCUACACACGUGCUACAAUGGUCGGUACAAAGGGUUGCCAAGCCGCGAGGUGGAGCUAAUCCCACUAAAACCGAUCGUAGUCCGGAUCGCAGUCUGCAACUCGACUGCGUGAAGUCGGAAUCGCUAGUAAUCGUGAAUCAGAAUGUCACGGUGAAUACGUUCCCGGGCCUU